GUACACCUGCGGGAGUUCCUCGUUGUGGGUAGGGGGUGGAUUCACGGGUUGCUUUCUUAAUGAUGAAUUAGGAAAUUAAUGAUAAGUUUUGGUCUGCCGCUGCGGCGUUCCCCAAACCGGUUCGCCGUUAGCAGCAGCUAACCCAUCCCGAGGCUGCUCUUUGAGGCUGGGCACUGUCAACCGCUCUUAUAACCUCCACAGCUUUUGAGGUACAAAUAUAUCUUUCUGUAUGAAUUAUAUUCACAAAAAGGCUCCAAAAAGCUGUUGUUAAGCGUCACAGAUUGCUGCUUUCAUUGACGAGGGGCAGGGAGGCUUUAGCAGAGCUGUUGCAUGCGGUCUGGGCACGUUUCAGCAGCUGCCGGGGGGGAGCUACACCUGGUGGGGUUUUGGUUGUUUGUCUUCUGAAAAAAACAUUUUUCGUCUUAUUGACACAUCAUGGGGUGACUUCAUUCCUUCGGGGCCAAGCCCGGCUCCUCAUCAGUUUCAGGAGGAACUUCGUUAAAGGGAACAGAGCUUGGCGUUGCAGUGACGGUGUGUAAAGCUCGAGUGUGUUUUCGGAGGAUUGGAAUUAAAAGUGCAGCGAGCGUUGCGAUUUCUCAGAGAUGCUGUAUCAAGAAGUGCUAGAUUUCUUUCCAUUCAGUCUCAACCUGAAGGCUAUUCCUGCUCCAGAACUGGUAUCUGGGUCUGAGAAGUUUGAGGUUCCCAACAUGCAGAUGUAGUCUGAAUGUCAUUACUAGCAGCCUGAAAUGGUCAGGCUGAAACAAAUUGAAUACCGAAUGUACAAUACUGAAAAAAGAUUUCAGUAAUUUAACCUGAUUGAGUAUUUCUUACUGAAGUCAGGCCUCAAGUACCUUUUCUCUUGGAAGAAAACUAAGGGUGGAAGUGAAAAUCCCUUCCCAAUUCUUUGUCCUUUUCCCGGACCACAGAAUUCACUUCUGACACAGGUAAAACAAGUAAUUAUGCUGCCUUUGACAGCUUCACCUUUAUCCUUCUGCUUUUCCCCUUGUUAGCUACUCAUUUCAGAUCCCUUCACCUGUGAAAAAUUUGCUCUGCUACAGAAAGGAAAGGGAGAAUUACUUGAAGUAAUUCACUUCCAUCUGCCUGGCUGCCAGCGCCUUGCUAUGGCUUCCCUUUAAACUGCAGGCAGCACUUUUAUGUAAAAAAAAUGUAAAAAAAAUGGAAAUAGCUGCUCACCAGUUGCAAUGUUAGCCCUUCCUCUUAUGUUUUCUUUGUGAAUGCUCCAUGUUCUUGAAAAUAUUUCAGCCACUUUCUAGAUUUUGUUUGGUUUUGGCAUACUUUAGCGCACAACUUCUCGUGGCCACUGAAUUAUUAAUUACCAGCUGAAAUACCGCUCAAAUCAAGCUCAUAGCACCGCCGUUAAAAAUUAAUCCCAGAGCAAGAGAACUGGGUGCUGCCUGCUGGAGCUCUGCCCGGUGUUACAAUGGGCAAAACUCAUGUGAAGCCGAAGUGUUAGCACCAAGUGCUGGUGUCCCAGCAAAGCCAAAAUGUUAAUACCAAGAGCUGGUGUCCACGAGGCAGGCUCUGGUCUCCCCCUUGCUAUAUAUUUCCUUACGAGAAAGGCUACUACUAUAGAUAGAUGGUUAAACUGUACAGCACAACAGCUUGCUAUUUUUAGCUGUUGUUGAAAACUAAGCUGUAACUAAUCGGAGUAAAACCCAGCAAUUUAAAUAGGAAGAUUAAUCUCCAGCUUCAAAGAGCGUUUCUUUACUGGAUCAAAUUAAUGGGGAAAAGGUCUUUCACAAAUGAGGUUUAAUUACCAAGUGAAGUCAGAGUUACCUCAACCUGGGAUGGCACCAGAUACAAAAAAGAAAAGCAAAAAAAUCCCUUUACUGUUGUAACUAAUCUGAGCUUUGUUGCUUCGAGUUGCACAAAGUAAAUGAGAAAGCACGGUGUGUGCAGCUGCCCACAAAUUUCUGUGUAGUCAAUUAAAGGACAUUGAAUUCCCAUACAGAAAAUACAUCUCUGAAGUGAGCUCUGUCAGCGAGAAUAAAAAGGGAGCUCAAGGAAGGGGCCUUUAGACACUAAGAUGUGAACUAGCACUAAGAUUAAGUAAGUCACAUAACUGAAGAGCCAUUUCAGAAGUGCCUAUGCUUAAAAAUCCUGGUCUCCACAGCAAGCGUACCCUGUAUGGGGAACAGGAACCCGAGUCCAUUUAAAAGAAAAGCAACUUCGGAACGAUUUCAACCUCCUGCUAUCUGUUUCGCAUAAAAGAAAGCCACCUAAGGAUUCAGAAGAAAGAUCUCCAUUGAAGAGCAGAUUAUACAUGCAAUGAAAAUAUCAGAAAUGCCCACUCUAGGCAGGAAAUUGCAUGCGUUUUCAGGUAUGUUUCCUGCCCGAUUUCAGUGCCAGACAUUCGUUUCCAUUUUGUGUUCCCACCACCAGAAUACAGAAGCAGAAAUCAAUCUAACGCAGGACACACGCUGCAGCUCACCGAAAACACUGCUCUGCUGACAAUUUUAAGACCAAUACUCGGCACAGCUUACAUGUGAGAGAUGUUCGCAUGUAAUGGCUGAACAAACAGCUGAGUUCCCAAAGCUACCCAAGUCAGACACCCAAAGCAAAGCCCUAUUUCACCACCAAGAUUCACUGCAGCUAAAGCAAGGGCUCAGCUGAAGGGUAUUACCCAGGCUCCCACUCCUGCCCCACACGAGAAGGGCUUUAAAACAAGGGUGAAUAUAAACAGAAGUCUUACAGCAGCCUUUCACAGCAAGCAAGAGCCAGUCCAGCAGCCUUCAGGCAGAGCCCACCAGCAGCAGCCACACGUGCACCAGUUGCAGAUGUCAACGCAGCCCCCGUACUCGACAUGCAAUGCCUGUAAUUGCAGCUACAUGAGCUACUGGGGCCACAGCAUCUUUCUUAAACAAUGCGUUGUUCACCGAAUCAUCUCAAAGACCCCACCACGGCACGUUUCUACAAGCAGCUCCACAGUCUUCUAAAAAUAACCCUGUUUUCCUCUCCUCAAGUAUAAAAACAAUCCACGGCCACACUGAAAGCUGCCCCAUUCCUCCUUACGUAACACCACUAACAGAGACCAAGAAGAACCCUGGAAAAUGCCAUUAGUAACCAAUACAUUGAAAUUAAAAAUUGCUAAUGAGAUUUAAGACCUGCACACUGACCAAUUUUUAUAGCUGUGGCAUAUGAACUUUGCCUCGUUCUAGUUUCUUAAAUCAUCACCCAGCAUCAAGGACAACUCCGCAUCGCGUACACAGCAUUACAUUGUUUUACUUUCUUCUGUAUUUUGCUUUACUGCUAUUUAUUUUCUCUCCUUUCUAGCUGCACACUUGUUCAUACUACCUUACCCUUCCUCUACUCAGAUUUCUCCUUUGUAGGUGUUUUCAAUUCCCAUGUAAAACAGCUAUUGUGCACGCGGGAAUUAAUCCAGCCUCAUCUUUCCUGACUCAGGCCUGAGAACAUUCUUUAAAAAAAAGUUACAAACAUCUCGUGUUAGUGAUUCACAGUCCCCUUCUCAGAAUUGUUUUCCACAAUUGAGUGAGUUUGUAUACUGCAUUUAAACAGUUUCACGGAAGCGUACCAUGUGGAAAGAAUACAAUCCAAAUGAAUAACGCGUCUCAAACACUGUAACUUCUCGUUAUUGAUCUUUAAGUGGCUUUCGGUUCUGAUCUCCUUCGUUUGCCAACACAAGAUUUCAUACGCAGUGCUCCCGGGUCAGAAGCAAACUCCCCCGAGACCGUCAAAGUAGUGCCAGCAACAGCAGGCUUGGACGAUAACAUCUUCUAUAACACAGCUUUGGUUUUUCUUUAAGCAGUAAAGAAGACAAGAUGCAGCUAUUGCAAUAAAAUCAUACAUUAACACUGUAUGUUGAUUGAGGGUAUUUGAACUCAGAAAGGAGACGUGUAAGUGGCCUUGUGUUUAGCCCUUCAGGUUGAAUUUUCUCCUGCAGUUCGAAGGAAAUGGUCAUCAGCCUAAAAGGGAGCUUCUGCCAGCACAGCUGUGUGGGCCAGGGGCACAGCUCCUGGUCUGCAGGUACCUCCACAUGGGCAUCGCCACACUACUGUAACCAAAACCUCACACCGACAGCUCUCACCUGCCACCACGCAGCAGUACACAUGGACACGGGCUUGCUGGAAAGGCACGGGCUGCCCAAAAACACGCUAGAGCAGGGCUCUGCUCUUCGGGCUGCGCUGAACAUGCUCUGGUUUGAUGUCACUGUGGUUAGAUUCGUUCAGGGCUGCUGGUCACAGCGCUUACCGAAUCCUUCCACGGAAAGAGGACCCAGCCGAGCCCAGCGCUUACCGCAAACUAGCACAGCACAAUUCAACUUCCAUAAAGAGGCCUUCGUAAGAAAACCAGGUUUAUGAUGUAAACAGAGGGCACCACUCAAAUCCGCUUUUUUAAGCAUACGGCAAGCGCAUGAUGAAGUGUUUUUUAAAACAACACAAAAACAACCCCCUGCCCACCUUCUGCCCAGCACACACAUGGAAUAAGCCUGCUUGUCUUAAACAGAAGAGCCAGGCAGUGAGGCGAGGAAGAGGAGGGCCAGAGGACCUUCAUCCCGUGUGCCACCUCACAGGACUGCCUGCUGCUGGCACCCAGCCUCCCAAGAGCAGGGAAAGGCAUUUCAGACGCUGCUCUCCAACAUAUAACGCAAUCAGAACUUCCAGGUGAAGGAAUCAUCGAGGGACGGGCUCUCCAGGACCUGCAGUGAACUUCCACACACAUUUUCCACAGGUUUUUCUUUGCAGGCUGGUGUGGAAGGGUGCUCCUUCCUUCCUCCUCCAGCUGCACCGCGCAAUUAGCAUGAGCUCUCAGCUUCCAGCUCACGAUGAACUCCAGGCUGCGGCUUCAUCUCUUCUGACUUUGAUGUGAUUUUAAAUAUCACUGCUUUUGCCAUUAUGGCCAAUUUAUCAGUUUUCCUUAUUUUGUAAUCUGUGUAGAAUAACCAACACCCUGAUCUCCUGCACAGUUGCGAGCAUGUGAUCUUCUAGAUGAAAGUCUUGCUCGUUAUGAAUUAAUGAACUUUAAAGCCCAGUAAUGUAACACAGAAAAUUAGCUACUGUAUAUAAAGGAUUUCUAAGAUUUUAAAAGAAAUUUAACAGUAAAAACUGGAGUAACAUUAAGGCACAGAAACAACACUUCUGUAUGUAAACUAUUGGUUAAGCUUCAUUCCUUUGUACAUUUUCUUCUGACAAAGCAAUUUAAGCUGCUUUCUUUACAUUGCUGUGGUUAUUUAAGGGCAUUUAACAUAAUUUGAACACCACUAAAAACCUCUUAACUGAAAAGAAACCUAACAAAUUAAGAGCAAGCAGACAGUUCAAACCGAGUUAGCUUCUGAAUGAGCAGUGCUUUGAAACCCAUCCCUACCUGCGGAGUAAUAGCAGGGGCUGGCUCUCCUUGAGCUACACAGUGAACAAAAUACAGCGAGAGGUUUUACUACCAGGACCAUGAGGUCUGUAUUAGACGUCUUACAAACAGGUAAAUGAUGGCAUAAAAGAGCCAGCAGCAGCCUAGCACUCCUAAAGCUAGCGCAAGGCCACACUUCCAAGAUUAUCUAUCAACUGUACUUGGCCUCGUGCUGACCUGGAAACCCUCCUUCUCCCUGCUUAGAAAGCAUAAGAAGGUAAAAGCUUCCAAAUUUAGUAUUUCUAAUUAAGAACGUGGUGAAGUGAUUCUGCUGUGUCUUACUAUACAGUGUAACCCCCAGACAUUUUCACUGUGCAUAGUAAUUUACUGUGUAAAAAUAAUCAUAGGACAUACAAAGGCUGUUUGUAUUAAAAUCCAGAUUUUUUUUUCAACCA
Non-coding RNA from Anas platyrhynchos (mallard), 5777 nucleotides. The record is from RefSeq and is a predicted model, not a curated record. NCBI's taxonomy places the organism in Eukaryota, Metazoa, Chordata, Aves, Anseriformes, Anatidae.